RNAcentral lists this ribosomal RNA (1953 nucleotides) under human gut metagenome. Its description in RNAcentral is "bacterial LSU rRNA". It matches the Rfam family "Bacterial large subunit ribosomal RNA", at positions 3 to 1989 of the family's 2925-position model. The record is from RNAcentral.
UCAAGCUAAAAAGAGCGCAGGGUGGAUGCCUUGGCACUAAGAGCCGAUGAAAGACGUGAUAAGCUGCGAUAAGCUACGGGGAGGAGCACAUAUCCAUUGAUCCGUAGAUUUCUGAAUGGGGAAACCCGGCUGAGCAUACCUCAGUCACCGUGCACUGAAUCCAUAGGUGUACGGAGGGAACCCGGUGAACUGAAACAUCUAAGUAGCCGGAGGAAGAGAAAGAAAACUCGAUUUUCAAAGUAGCGGCGAGCGAAAUGGAAAGAGCCCAAACCGGAGUGCGUGCACUCCGGGGUUCGGACUGCAUUUAUGACUUCUGACUGUAGCGGAACGGUUCUGGAAAGACCGGCCAGAGAGGGUGAGAGCCCCGUAGGCGAAACGGAAAGAAGCAGAGCAGGAUCCAGAGUACCACGAGACACGAGAAACCUUGUGGGAAUGAGCGGGGACCACCCCGUAAGGCUAAAUACUCCUUAGUGACCGAUAGAGCAGAGUACUGUGAAGGAAAGGUGAAAAGGACCCCGGGAGGGGAGUGAAAGAGAACCUGAAACCCUGUGUUUACAAACUGUGGAAGUACCAUAUGAGUACAACCGCGUACUUUUUGUAGAACGGUCCGGCGAGUUACGUUUACUGGCGAGGUUAAGCACUUAAGGUGCGGAGCCGAAGGGAUACCAAGUCUUAACAGGGCGUUAAGUCAGUGUACGUAGACCCGAAACCGGGUGAUCUACCCAUGUCCAGGCUGAAGUUGCCGUAAAAGGCAAUGGAGGGCCGAACGCACAUCCGUUGAAAAGGGUGGCGAUGAGGUGUGGGUAGGGGAGAAAUUCCAAUCGAACCCGGAGAUAGCUGGUUCUCCUCGAAAUAGCUUUAGGGCUAGCCUCGUUUUAGUCUUAUGGAGGUAGAGCACUGAAUUUCCGCGGGGGCGUCAAAGCUUACCAAAGAAUAUCAAACUCCGAAUGCCAUGUAGAUGAUGAACGGGAGUCAGACUGCACGAGAUAAGUUGGGCAGUCAAAAGGGAAAGAGCCCAGACCGCCAGCCAAGGUCCCAAAGUGUGUGUUAAGUGGAAAAGGAUGUGGGAUCUCCAAGACAACUAGGAUGUUGGCUCAGAAGCAGCCACACAUUCAAAGAGUGCGUAACAGCUCACUAGUCGAGAGGUCCUGCGCCGAAAAUGUCCGGGGCUGAAACACAACACCGAAGCUGCGGAAUUGCGAAUGCAAUUGGUAGAGGAGCAUUCUUAAUACCGACGAAGCUGUACCGGAAGGAGCAGUGGAGGGAUAAGAAGAGAGAAUGCCGGAAUGAGUAGCGAGAGAGAGGUGGGAAUCCUCUCGGCCGAAUAUCCAAGGUUUCCAGAGUAAAGCUGAUCUGCUCUGGGUAAGUCGGGGCCUAAGGCGAGGUCAAGAGACGUAGCCGAUGGACAACAGGUUUAGAUUCCUGUACCGCAUAUAAACAGAACUGUGGGGACGCAUGGGGAGAGCAUGGGCCGGGAAUGGAAAUACCGGUGCAAGCGAAGGAGGUGUGCAGCCGGCAAAUCCGCUGCAUGAGCCGAAAGCGUGACGCGGAGCGAAAUGAAAGUAGCGAAGCAUGUGAGCCCUGUGCCGAGAAAAGCCGCUAUUGCUUUAUAUGUGCCCGUACCGUAAACCGACACAGGUGGAUGAGGAGAGAAUCCUAAGGCCGGCGGAAGAAGUAUUGUUAAGGAACUCGGCAAAAUGACCCCGUAACUUCGGGAGAAGGGGUGCCCACGGGAGUGGGCCGCAGAGAAUAGGCUCAAGCAACUGUUUAGCAAAAACACAGGUCUAUGCGAAACCGAAAGGUGAAGUAUAUGGGCUGACGCCUGCCCGGUGCUGGAAGGUUAAGAGGAGAGGUUAGCGCAAGCGAAGCUUUGAAUUUAAGCCCCAGUAAACGGCGGCCGUAACUAUAACGGUCCUAAGGUAGCGAAAUUCCUUGUCGGGUAAGUUCCGACCC